Molecule: ribosomal RNA, 447 nt
Filed under: uncultured bacterium
Lineage: Bacteria
Description: bacterial SSU rRNA
Rfam family: Bacterial small subunit ribosomal RNA
Source: RNAcentral
CCAGACUCCUACGGGAGGCAGCAGUGGGGAAUAUUGCACAAUGGGGGAAACCCUGAUGCAGCGACGCCGCGUGAGCGAAGAAGUAUUUCGGUAUGUAAAGCUCUAUCAGCAGGGAAGAAAAAAAUGACGGUACCUGAGUAAGAAGCACCGGCUAAAUACGUGCCAGCAGCCGCGGUAAUACGUGUGGUGCAAGCGUUAUCCGGAUUUACUGGGCGUAAAGGGAGCGCAGGCGGCACGGCAAGUCUGGUGUGAAAGCCCGGGGCCCAACCCCAGGACUGCAUUGGAAACUGCCGGGCUGGAGUGCCGGAGGGGCAGGCGGAAUUCCUGGUGUAGCGGUGAAAUGCGCAGAUAUCAGGAAGAACACCGGUGGCGCAGGCGGCCUGCUGGACGGCAACUGACGCUGAGGCUCGAAAGCGUGGGGAGCAAACAGGAUUAGAUACCCCAGUA